GACAAUUCCAUGCUCCCAACUUUGUGGGAACAGUUUGGAGCUGGCCCCUUCCCCUUCCAACAUGACUGUGCACCAGUGCACAAAGCAAGGUCCAUAAAGACAUGGAUGACAGAGUCUGGUGUGGAUGAACUUGACUGGCCUGCACAGAGUCCUGACCUCAACCCGAUAGAACACCUGUGGGAUGAAUUAGAGCGGAGACUGAGAGCCAGGCCUUCUCGUCCAACAUCAGUGUGUGACCUCACAAAUGCGCUUCUGGAAGAAUGGUCAAAAAUUCCCAUAAACACACUCCUAAACCUUGUGGACAGCCUUCCCAGAAGAGUUGAAGCUGUUAUAGCUGCAAAGGGUGGACUGACGUCAUAUUGAACCCUAUGGAUUAGGAAUGGGAUGUCACUUAAGUUCAUAUGCGAGUCAAGGCAGGUGAGCGAAUACUUUUGGCAAUAUAGUGUAUCUUUAGCAAAUUAAGAAUUUGAAAGAGAACUGCAAUUCGAGAAGCAGAGGCACUCAUGCUAACGUGAUCUUUCUCUUGGUCUCAUAUCCCUUCUUGUUCCUUUUUUGCAUUUAGAUCCAAAUAAAAACUUUUUCUUCCUCUCAGUGAUGCACUUCUGUUUUUCCCCUUAUUUUCUGAUUUGUCUGUUGAAACCACACGAUGCUGACCUCAACUAACUUUUGCCAUGACUGUGGUUAUAAGCGUCAGCAUAUAGUGCUGCACUAGAAAGCAAUGUUAACACGAGAACAUUAAUUCCUAGCAAAGCUUAGUGUUUAUGAGUAAAAUUAAUUUUAAAACAAUAGGAAGGCAACUUACGAUUACACUUACAAUGCCAGGAGGUGACUUUUCCAUUAUGAUGCUACUUCUUUGGACAUUUGUUGCCAGCAGGGUUGUUGGUGAGACCAUGACUGGAGGGUUACAUGGGCGAGUGGAGCUUCAAGGACGCUAUGGACACAAUCCAGAUGUAGAAAAAGUGGAAUGGACUAAAUAUGCAGCUGAAAAUUCAACCAGGAAAUUGCUAUAUGUGGUUACUAAGCCAAACAAUGCGACAUGCAUUCAUCAGUGCCAAAAUAUUUCUUUUAAUUUAAAGUGUAUGAGUCUUAUUUUGAUUCAUUUAACAAAGCAAGAUGAAGGCAUUUAUGAGGAGAAAGUCGUAUUUAAAAAUAAUACUAUUCAAAAGUUUAAUAUCAGGUUAUCUGUGCUGUUUGCAUCAAAAAUCAGUGUCUCUUCUUCUCCUGGCUCUCUGACCCUGAAGUGUGAUAUCAGUGAUGACUUUGAGCUGCUGCAAUGGUUCAGGAAUGACCUUCGACUACCGGAUGACCGGAGAUUUUCCCUCACUGAGAAGAACAAGACCAUGCAGGUGUUCAACCUGAUUAGUUCAGACUGUGGCACAUACACCUGUGUGAUUUCAAAUGAAUACGGAACAUCAGCGGCGUAUGUUGAUGUAAACGAUGACGUUUGUGAACAAUCUCACUCAUCACUUUCCUGGUUUUGUGAAGCAGGUUAAUCUACGUUUGCAACAAUUAUGGAAGAAGCUGUUCCUCCGACUUCUGAGCAGACUGAAGACUCUGGCUACUUGACCAUCGCAAAUGUUUUGGAGGACACGCAGCCUUCACAAAAAGCUAUAAAACCUAACUUAAUAGGAGACUAAUGCAUGUGUUCCUUUACCAUAAGCUAAGCUUAGUUCUGUCUAACUCCAGUGGACUUCUGUAUGUUUUCAUUUGCAUCGUAUUAUGAUUAAUUUGCAGUUUGUGAAUUUUUGAUUGUUGAUGCUUAUAAUUACAAACUGCU
This is a long non-coding RNA of Hemibagrus wyckioides, 1777 nucleotides long. RefSeq lists it as uncharacterized. The record is from RefSeq and is a predicted model, not a curated record. The transcript is spliced from 5 exons. NCBI's taxonomy places the organism in Eukaryota, Metazoa, Chordata, Actinopteri, Siluriformes, Bagridae.